Non-coding RNA from Anolis sagrei ordinatus, 570 nucleotides. NCBI's taxonomy places the organism in Eukaryota, Metazoa, Chordata, Lepidosauria, Squamata, Anolidae. The record is from RefSeq and is a predicted model, not a curated record.
UCAUGCCUCCUUCUCCCUUUCCUUUCAAGGUGCCAGGCAAGCGGACAGCGACGUGGGCAUCGAGACUUGGGUGGCUUUUUCCCUCUGGCCAUCCGAAGUGUUUUCCCUUUUUCUGGAGAUUGAUUAACGGAAAGAAGAAACAAUAUUGCAAGGAUCAAGAAGUCACAAAUAUUUAGAAACAAUGUUCUGAAGGUGGAAUAUGACCCAUUCGGAUCUGCAGAUUUACAAUAAGAAUGGAUACAUAUAAUACAUUUUAUUUUGUCAAAAUACAUUUUAUCUGGCCAAACUGUCAGAUACGCAGAUAUCACACAUGUUUCCAUGCACAACAUACAAAAACACACCUCUAUCUUUUUUUAAAAAAAUGGGACAAUUGGAUGAGUAUAUACAUCCCAAGUGUUACCGAUCACGGGCCACUUCAUAAAGCAAUACAUGAACAAACUAGGCUGGAAACCCUAGCCAUAUGGCAACUUUCAAUAUGCCUACUUGAUACGUGCAUGCAUGUUUUAAAUGUCAGCUGUAACUUUCAUGAUGUAUGUGUUUAGAAUGAUUAAAGUAGUCAUUUACCACCAA